This 214-nucleotide ribosomal RNA is filed under the name uncultured bacterium. Its description in RNAcentral is "partial 16S ribosomal RNA". It matches the Rfam family "Bacterial small subunit ribosomal RNA", at positions 120 to 334 of the family's 1533-position model. The record is from RNAcentral.
UGCAACCUACCUUGAUCAGGGGGAUAGCCUCUCGAAAGAGAGAUUAACACCGCAUAACAUCAUUUAACGGCAUCGUUGAAUGAUCAAAUAUUUAUAGGAUCGAGAUGGGCAUGCGUGACAUUAGCUAGUUGGCGGGGUAACGGCCCACCAAGGCCACGAUGUCUAGGGGAUCUGAGAGGAUGACCCCCCACACUGGUACUGAGACACGGACCAG